CAUCUCUCUCAUCUCCUCUCUUUCAUUCUGGAUCCAGCUCUAAAGAACCCUAGUUCCUUUUCGUUGUCUUUCUAUCGGUUUCAAAUCAGAAUAUUUGAGUAUUAAUUAAGUGAGUGAUUCAUAGAAGUCUUGUAUCUUGAUUAAUUAAUCGAGGGAGUAGGGGACGAUGUUGCUAUUGAUUGAGUUUUGGGAGAAGAAAAGAAAUUAGGGUUUCGGUCUUGGGAGGAAGAAAUCAAGUGUAGAUGCAGAAUCAGUUGAGAACCCUGGUGAUUUGUUUUGGUGGUGUUUAUUGGUUGAUUUCAGUUAAAUUUUCAGCAGCUUGAGUUGCAGGAAGAUUUUUAUUGGGGAAGGUAAAUAAUUAGGCAGGACCACAAACUCGAGAGUGUUCUGUCCAUCACCAGUAUUAAACUGCACACCAGGUGUUCGAGAGAUAAACUAAGUGACCAGGUACUCCUGCAUCAGCAACGCUAGCCAUGAGUUUGGGUCAUGUAUUUCAGGGUUCAAACUUCAAGGGUUAUGGGUUCUGUGAUGUGCCGACAAGUCAGUGAAAGAGUAGGUGCUGCCAUACAUUUUGUGAUGAGUUUGAGAAGGUUUAUGACAUGAUUUUACAUCCACAUGCAUACUUGCAUAUCUACCACUGCAUCUCCAUACUCUCAAACCAUCUCGCCGUAUCACUCUGUUUACCGUCACCAGUUUUUAUCUCAUCAUAACACCUGCAUACACCCACAACCAGUCCAUCUCAUUCAUCUACAACAUCACCAACAACAGCUGCAGUCCAUCUUCUCACCAUCACCAGCACCUCCACAAUCCAUCUGAAGCUCCUUCACUAAGCAACAUAUACUAGGCAACCAUAUCAACAUCAAGUGAAUACCACCUCAAUUCAAUCCACAGUUCUUGCAUCGUUGGAAGUCUCUGCAAAUUGUUAUGAAGUAACUUGAAGAAGAUAUGGUGUAAGGUUAGGGCUAUAUAUUUCUUUGUAAUUUUUUUUUUCACUUACAUGUAAUCUGAUGUACUUUGCAGGAAAAUGUAAUAGAGCUGAAUGAAACUGAGCAACAUACAGGAGAAACCCGUAUACACAGAUGCAGUCGGCGAGUUCAAAGCUGAUGAUAGGGGAUGCCUUCAAGGAAUGGGAGGAGGGAUAUCAAAGACUGAAUUGCUUGCUUCUCUAAAUAAUUAGUAUCUUAUGUUAAAAUGAUUCACCCUAUUCGUACUUCAUAUCACCCUAAAAGACCCUAUUCGUACUUCUCUAAAUAAUUAGUAUCUUAUGUGCAUCUGUAGGAAAUUGGUCGUGCUGGACGAGAUGGUAGAUUAUCCUAUUGCCAUAUAUUUUUCGACGAUUUAGCUUAUUUCAAGUUCCGCAGUUUUUCAUACAGCGGGUGUUGAUGAAUUUGCAGUAAACAAGUUCUUGUGUCAAAUUUUCAGUGUGCGCACCUGGAAAAGUUUUCUCCUUAAUUAGUGAAAGAAUUUGCAUCUCAGAAAUAUAUAUAUGAAAGAAGAGGUGAUGCUUUGGAGAUAGGGAAAGUGCAGUAUUUGUGCUUUCUCCCACAAUUGGAUGACGUCACUUGCUCCUUGUAUUUUCACAAGGUGUGGUCCAUGAAGCCUUAUACACGUUUUUUUUUCUACGCAGAUGUGGUCACUGCAAAAGCCUUGCUAUCACAAAUAGGUUUAUGAAAAGGUUGCAUCAGCAUAUAAAUCUGGACGACGCUAUCUCCAUUUUUUUAGCAUUUAUAAUUUGAUGUCAUAUGCUAUAGUCAAUUAGAACCGCGUUGCAUGCGAAGGGAAACUUAAUUUUCUGAGCCGUGGCUUCAUCCUUAGCCUUUUAUUUCUGUUGCUAAAAACUUUCGCAACGCAGGAAGAUAGUUGCGAAAUAAAACAUUAGCAACGGCAGGGACGGUUGCUUAUUUCCGUUGCUGACCGAAAAUAGCAACAUGCUGUUGCUAAAAAUUGCGACAUUGUAUUUAGCAACGGCGAAGAUUUGUUGCGACCCUGUUUAGCAACAGCUGUGGUAGGUUGCUAAUACCUUAAAAUGGUGUAGUGUGAUCAAUGUUGGUGACUUAGAGUAUGGGGAACUCCAAGAACCCCAAGUGACAAUGAACCAGUUAUCUUGGCAGUUAUUCGGUGUACAACAAGGUCUCAAUACAUCAUUUCACACUUUGGAUAACUUGAGGAACAACUACAAUCCCCAAUAAGGAGGUUGGUUUUUUGAGAGCAGUGGGUUCAUCUCUAAUGACGAAUACUAAGAAGCAAAUCAGAAUCAAUGGAGUUCAGUGGUCAGGAUGAUGAAGACGACUCCGAGUGCUGCAUCUGUUACGCCUCCAAGGCAGAUGCUCAGUGCAAGACAUGUUCACGUAGAUCCUUGUACGGAGUUAGAAAUGUAAACGAAAAACGAUUGGAUCAGUGUUUGUAGUGUUUUUCACAUUUGGUUCUAGCAAAUUUAACAAAUUUAACUUGUGGAAGAGUAAAUAUAGUAUAAGAUGGGGAAGAUUCCAUGGGAGGUCAUUGUGAACUGGAGGAAUGUGUUUUUCCAACCUCCUUAGUGUAGUUCUCUUUUGAGGGUCUUUUUUCUUUUAGUUUUUGUUGUCUUUUUCGGUGGUUGGCUGCUCUUUUGCAUGCUCUCCUUUUGCUAAUAAAAUCUUUACUUUACUGAG
This is a long non-coding RNA of Papaver somniferum (opium poppy), 2648 nucleotides long. RefSeq lists it as uncharacterized. The transcript is spliced from 8 exons. The record is from RefSeq and is a predicted model, not a curated record. NCBI's taxonomy places the organism in Eukaryota, Viridiplantae, Streptophyta, Magnoliopsida, Ranunculales, Papaveraceae.